GCUGGCGGCGUGCUUAACACAUGCAAGUCGAGCGGUAAGGCCCUUUCGGGGUNACACAGAGCGGGCAGAACGGGUUUGAGUAACACUGUGAGCAAACCUUGCCCCUUGACUCUGGGAUUAAGCGGGUGGAAAACGCCCGUCUUAAUACCGGGAUACGACCCUUUCAGCCUCAUGCCGUUGGGUGGAAAGUUUGUUUCCGGCUCAGGGAUGGGCUCGCGGCCUAUCAGCUUGUUGGUGGGGUAACGGCCUACCAAGGCGAUUACGGGUAGCCGGCCUGAGAGGGCGACCGGCCACACUGGGACUGAGACACGGCCCAGACUCCUGCGGGAGGCAGCAGUGGGGAAUAUUGCGCAAUGGGCGAAAGCCUGACGCAGCGACGCCGCGUGGGGGAUGACGGCCUUCGGGUUGUAAACCUCUUUUACCACCAACGCAGGCUCCGGGUUCUCUCGGGGUUGACGGUAGGUGGGGAAUAAGGACCGGCUAACUACGUGCCAGCAGCCGCGGUA
RNAcentral lists this ribosomal RNA (506 nucleotides) under Nocardiopsis sp. H9. Its description in RNAcentral is "bacterial SSU rRNA". It matches the Rfam family "Bacterial small subunit ribosomal RNA", at positions 35 to 522 of the family's 1533-position model. The record is from RNAcentral. Lineage: Bacteria; Bacillati; Actinomycetota; Actinomycetes; Streptosporangiales; Nocardiopsidaceae.